GCCAAUGUAGCUCAGAGGUAGAGCACUUCCUUGGUAAGGAAGAGGUCACGGGUUCAAAUCCCGCCAUUGGCU
RNAcentral lists this transfer RNA (72 nucleotides) under Blattabacterium punctulatus. RNAcentral describes it as "tRNA-Thr". It matches the Rfam family "tRNA". Rfam says of the family: Transfer RNA (tRNA) molecules are approximately 80 nucleotides in length. RNAcentral also lists the same sequence under 2 other names. Lineage: Bacteria; Pseudomonadati; Bacteroidota; Flavobacteriia; Flavobacteriales; Blattabacteriaceae. The record is from RNAcentral.